GGUUUUAAUUCCAUAAUGCA
This 20-nucleotide microRNA is filed under the name Tribolium castaneum (red flour beetle). RNAcentral describes it as "tca-miR-3894-5p". Lineage: Eukaryota; Metazoa; Arthropoda; Insecta; Coleoptera; Tenebrionidae. The record is from miRBase by way of RNAcentral.